RNAcentral lists this ribosomal RNA (467 nucleotides) under uncultured bacterium. RNAcentral describes it as "partial 16S ribosomal RNA". It matches the Rfam family "Bacterial small subunit ribosomal RNA", at positions 28 to 507 of the family's 1533-position model. The record is from RNAcentral.
GAUGAACGCUGGCGGCGUGCCUAACACAUGCAAGUCGAACGGAAAGGCCUCUGCUUGCAGGGGUACUCGAGUGGCGAACGGGUGAGUAACACGUGGGUGAUCUGCCCUGCACUUCGGGAUAAGCCUGGGAAACUGGGUCUAAUACCGGAUAGGACAAUGGUUUGGAUGCUGUUGUGGAAAGUUUUUCGGUGUGGGAUGAGCUCGCGGCCUAUCAGCUUGUUGGUGGGGUAAUGGCCUACCAAGGCGUCGACGGGUAGCCGGCCUGAGAGGGUGUACGGCCACAUUGGGACUGAGAUACGGCCCAGACUCCUACGGGAGGCAGCAGUGGGGAAUAUUGCACAAUGGGCGCAAGCCUGAUGCAGCGACGCCGCGUGGGGGAUGACGGCCUUCGGGUUGUAAACUCCUUUCGCUAGGGACGAAGCGUUUUUGUGACGGUACCUGGAGAAGAAGCACCGGCUAACUACGUG